GACCGUGUAGCUCAGUUGGCAGAGCGUUGGGCUAGUAUUCCAACGGUCGUAGGUUCGAUUCCCAUCGUGGCCA
This 73-nucleotide transfer RNA is filed under the name Paramuricea clavata. It matches the Rfam family "tRNA". Rfam says of the family: Transfer RNA (tRNA) molecules are approximately 80 nucleotides in length. Their secondary structure includes four short double-helical elements and three loops (D, anti-codon, and T loops). The record is from Rfam by way of RNAcentral. Lineage: Eukaryota; Metazoa; Cnidaria; Anthozoa; Malacalcyonacea; Plexauridae.